RNAcentral lists this unclassified non-coding RNA (299 nucleotides) under plant metagenome. Its description in RNAcentral is "partial contains 5.8S ribosomal RNA, internal transcribed spacer 2, and large subunit ribosomal RNA". The stretch from base 1 to 105 matches the Rfam family "5.8S ribosomal RNA", at positions 50 to 154 of the family's 154-position model. The record is from RNAcentral.
UCCCUUCGAUCAGUAAUGUGAAUUGCAGAAUUCAGUGAAUCAUCGAAUCUUUGAACGCACAUUGCGCCCCCUGGUAUUCCGGGGGGCAUGCCUGUUCGAGCGUCAUUUCACCACUCAAGCCUCGCUUGGUAUUGGGCGACGCGGUCCGCCGCGCGCCUCAAAUCGACCGGCUGGGUCUUUCGUCCCCUCAGCGUUGUGGAAACUAUUCGCUAAAGGGUGCCGCGGGAGGCCACGCCGUAAAACAACCCCAUUUCUAAGGUUGACCUCGGAUCAGGUAGGGAUACCCGCUGAACUUAAGC